UACACGUAAGCUGGUUUAGCUCA
This 23-nucleotide microRNA is filed under the name Caenorhabditis remanei. RNAcentral's name for it is "crm-miR-7607". The record is from miRBase by way of RNAcentral. Lineage: Eukaryota; Metazoa; Nematoda; Chromadorea; Rhabditida; Rhabditidae.